CUAACUCUUCUUUGUAAGCACUUUUGAAUGAAAUAUGAGUUUGCCUUUGCUGAUGCAAUUCCAGCAAAAUGAACUCUGUCAAAAGUCACUUCUCUCGAGCUUUCCAUUCUCCAUCUAGCUUCCUUCCAGAAGGUCGCCUGAACUAGCUUCCAUCCACCGUAGAGCUCUUCAAACCAUCACCUACGUCCUGAUUUCAUCUCUGCUUCACCACUAUCCAUCACGGAAUCCUCCAACUCACACGCCUCUGCAUUCCGCUGUUUCACUGCUACUACACAUGUACGCUGCCUCUGGUUCGAAUAUUCACAUCUUCCGCUGCCUACAAACCACUUCCAUGGCUGGAGCAACUUCAUCAUGUCGUAUUCAGAGCCUUGGUUUUGCAGCACG
This 384-nucleotide long non-coding RNA is filed under the name Vigna radiata. RNAcentral's name for it is "long non-coding RNA (VRAD_LNC000137)". The record is from RNAcentral. Lineage: Eukaryota; Viridiplantae; Streptophyta; Magnoliopsida; Fabales; Fabaceae.